GCAACCACGUGAUCAGUAAAAAUCGUGUAUUUGCACGUGAAUUUGUUUUCCGGAAUUCCGUACACCGUCAUAGAGUAGUUGAAAAACAUAAAGGGGUUCCGAAAGUACAAGUUGUUGCUGUGACUGACUCGAUGAUUGAGGGGGUCGUCUCGACGAAAGAUAGAGACAGUUGGCCAUAGUUUAGAUUAGGAAUACGUCAAUGUAAUAAUAGUGGACCAAAUGUUUCGUCCGUGCAGAAUGGCACUUUUUACCUCACGACCAUGCAUAGCUGCGCUACGUAAACGAUUUUACAAAGUUGUUGAUGUAGCGUGAUCGUGAUGUCCGACUCCGAGUGCUGCGAGUUUCAAUACUGUUUAUGUAGUCAUUGAGAGUUUAAACAAAGUUUCUUCUGAGAAGAGGGAUUCGAUGGAUGCAUUCAACGUGGACAACGAGAUUAUAAUUUCGUUUGUGUCAUCCUAAGGACCAGUGCAAGUUGAAAUGGGCUUCGAGUCAACAACUUCAACAGCAAUUUGCCUUGAAAAUCAGCAAGAAAGGUACUUCAUUUACAUUGAUGAUGUCAUAUCCUCUGGACCCCACAACUUUACAGGUUACAGAGAAAAUUCAAGAACUUCUGCACAAUGUGGAACUUGGAUAGAAUCAAUAAUGUAUUUGUGAGAAAGACAAUAAUAUUGCAUAAAUGUAGAUGAAGUGUCAUUGUUGAUUAUUCUAAGUUUUUGAUAUAUCAAAAUCAGUAAACAUUUCUAAAUGAAAAUAAAAUACCAAUUUUAUAUCUUUUAAUCAAUGUGUUUGAAUUUCUCAUUUUCUACUACCCCCCCCCCCCCCCAACACAUUCAGUGCAUAUAUACCGUGAACUGGGAGAAAUUAGGGGGGGGGGGGGGUAACCGGCGCGAGCCCCCCUAAAAUUUUCAAGAUUAAGGUAAAUCGUGGUAUGUUGUUUAGAAAAAUGUAUACGAUAAAAGAAGCAAUAAUUUCCUCCAAUCUCGGAGAAAUAAAUGUCUGACAAAACGUUUUGAUUUAUUGAAUUACUUUUAGACCCCUGCCUCAUACAGUCCGUUCCCCCCCCCCCCCCC
Molecule: long non-coding RNA, 1070 nt
Organism: Ostrea edulis (European flat oyster)
Lineage: Eukaryota; Metazoa; Mollusca; Bivalvia; Ostreida; Ostreidae
Exons: 3
Source: RefSeq, a predicted model, not a curated record